RNAcentral lists this transfer RNA (73 nucleotides) under Felis catus (domestic cat). It matches the Rfam family "tRNA". Rfam says of the family: Transfer RNA (tRNA) molecules are approximately 80 nucleotides in length. Their secondary structure includes four short double-helical elements and three loops (D, anti-codon, and T loops). Lineage: Eukaryota; Metazoa; Chordata; Mammalia; Carnivora; Felidae. RNAcentral also lists the same sequence under 3 other names. The record is from Rfam by way of RNAcentral.
GCCUGGCUGGCCGAGUAGGUAGAGCAUGUGACUCUUGAUCUUGAGGUCGUGAGUUCAAGCCCCACCUUGGGCA